RNAcentral lists this ribosomal RNA (253 nucleotides) under uncultured bacterium. Its description in RNAcentral is "partial 16S ribosomal RNA". It matches the Rfam family "Bacterial small subunit ribosomal RNA", at positions 524 to 776 of the family's 1533-position model. The record is from RNAcentral.
UACGUAGGGACCAAGCGUUGUUCGGAUUUACUGGGCAUAAAGGGCGCGUAGGCGGCGCGGUAAGUCACUUGUGAAAUCUCUGAGCUUAACUCAGAACGGCCAAGUGAUACUGCAGUGCUAGAGUGUGGAAGGGGCAAUCGGAAUUCUUGGUGUAGCGGUGAAAUGCGUAGAUAUCAAGAGGAACACCUGAGGUGAAGACGGGUUGCUGGGCCAACACUGACGCUGAGGCGCGAAAGCCAGGGGAGCAAACGGG